RNAcentral lists this ribosomal RNA (492 nucleotides) under uncultured bacterium. Its description in RNAcentral is "partial 16S ribosomal RNA". It matches the Rfam family "Bacterial small subunit ribosomal RNA", at positions 29 to 507 of the family's 1533-position model. The record is from RNAcentral.
AGUGAACGCUGGCGGUAGGCCUAACACAUGCAAGUCGAACGGCAGCACAGUAAGAGCUUGCUCUUACGGGUGGCGAGUGGCGGACGGGGGAGGAAUACAUCGGAAUCUACUUUUUUGUGGGGGAUAACGUAGGGGAACUUACGCUAAUACCGCAUACGACCUACGGGUGAAAGCAGGGGAUCUUCGGACCUUUCGCGAUUGAAUGAGCCGAUGUCGGAUUAGCUAGUUGGCGGGGUAAAGGCCCACCAAGGCGACGAUCCGUAGCUGGUCUGAGAGGAUGAUCAGCCACACUGGAACUGAGACACGGUCCAGACUCCUACGGGAGGCAGCAGUGGGGAAUAUUGGACAAUGGGCGCAAGCCUGAUCCAGCCAUACCGCGUGGGUGAAGAAGGCCUUCGGGUUGUAAAGCCCUUUUGUUGGGAAAGAAAAGCAGCAGGUUAAUACCCCGCUGUUCUGACGGUACCCAAAGAAUAAGCACCGGCUAACUUCGUG